This 254-nucleotide ribosomal RNA is filed under the name uncultured bacterium. Its description in RNAcentral is "partial 16S ribosomal RNA". It matches the Rfam family "Bacterial small subunit ribosomal RNA", at positions 524 to 776 of the family's 1533-position model. The record is from RNAcentral.
UACGUAGGGACCAAGCGUUGUUCGGAUUUACUGGGCGUAAAGGGCGCGUAGGCGGCCACCGCAAGUCGACUGUGAAAUCUCCGGGCUUAACCCGGAAAGGUCAGCCGAUACUGCGGGGCUAGAGUGCAGAAGGGGCAACUGGAAUUCUCGGUGUAGCGGUGAAAUGCGUAGAUAUCGAGAGGAACACCUGCGGCGAAGGCGGGUUGCUGGGCUGACACUGACGCUGAUGCGCGAAAGCUAGGGGAGCGAACGGG